Molecule: transfer RNA, 85 nt
Filed under: Felis catus (domestic cat)
Lineage: Eukaryota; Metazoa; Chordata; Mammalia; Carnivora; Felidae
Rfam family: tRNA
About the family: Transfer RNA (tRNA) molecules are approximately 80 nucleotides in length. Their secondary structure includes four short double-helical elements and three loops (D, anti-codon, and T loops).
Source: Rfam by way of RNAcentral
GCCUGGGUGGCUCAGUUGGUUGAGCAUCCGACUUCAGCUCAGGUCAUGAUCUCGCGGUCUGUGAGUUCGAGCCCUGCUUCGGGCU